This is a non-coding RNA of Macaca mulatta (Rhesus monkey), 1665 nucleotides long. Lineage: Eukaryota; Metazoa; Chordata; Mammalia; Primates; Cercopithecidae. The record is from RefSeq and is a predicted model, not a curated record.
AAAAAAAUCCAAUAAGACAGACUUUAAAAAGUUGUUAAAAUUACCUUCAUAUUUUGUCUUAGAAUCCUCUUGCUUUGGUAGUUUAUUGACACAGUGAGGAAUUUCACGAUUUAUUUCAGUUGAUUUUUCUUUACGAUCCAUGUUUCCUGUUGCCUUUUUACCCUAUGAUUUAGAAAAGCAGCAAAAACACAUUUUGGGGGGUCUAGAUAACUUUAAAUUGCAUUUUAGUCUAACGAUUACAAAUACUUUUCACAUAGAACAAGUGACUGUAGCCUAAUUUAUUUUUGUUAAGACAUGUUUAAUUAGACACUGCAAGAUUCCAAGUUUGCUGUACCUUAGUUGUCAAAGGUGGAACAUCUGAUUUUUGGGUUCCCUGGUGUCUCAUACUUGUGAAUGGCAAACUUUUUCUGUCUGCUUGGACUGAUUUUGUUGAAGAAACUAUAGAACAGGUAGAUUAUAUGUAAGAAACAUAUUUUACAUUUGGAUGCAAUAUUGAUUUUACAUAUAAAAUAACAUUAAUGCAAUGUAAUAAUAAAGUAGACUAAGUAUACUAAGUAUUUUCUAAAUAUUCUGUAUAUAUAUAGCAUUUGCUAAAUUUCCUGUUUUUCCCUUCAGGGCCCUUGCUUUGUCUUACUUUGGGCCCCACAGUGUUAGAGUACAAAACAAGUAGGUGUUAGGAUAAGACAGUGUUGCUGUUGGAGGACAAGGCUGUCCUUUGUGGAUGGGAUUCAACAAGGUAGACGUGUAAUUGUGAGAGGCCAGGCCACCGAGCCAUCCUGUGGCAGAGCUCUUGAUUAUCAGUGGUUAGACUGUCUGUGCUAAAGCACAUGACCGCUAAGUCUAGACUGCACUUGCCCUGAAAAGUGAAGGAAAUUAUAUCUUUUAAACACCCCCUUGGUUGAUUCAUCGUCUCUAUUAUUCUAGAUUAUAAGCCAGAAGCAAACAAAGGCAGGCAAGGAAAUUUGAGGUUGUUGCAUCUGGAAGUAAACAUGUAGCUACUUCUUCUAAUAAAACAGGGCUGAGUAUUCCUAUGCUACGUCUGAGUCGAAUCUGUUGCUGGGAGAUCUUGGGGGGAAGUGCAUGUGGUCUUGAAGGAAAGAAGACUCUUCACCAAUGAGAGGUAUACACUAAUGAUAGUGGCAUCAGUAGAGACGAAUCUCAAAAACAUGAUGCUGAACAAAAGAAGCCAGAUACAAAAGAGUUCAUGCUGUGGGAGUCUACUUACGCGAAGUUCUAGAACAGACAAACUAAGCUAUUGUGACCAAAGGAAAGUCAGUGGUUGCUGGGUGAGGUAGGGGACUACUGACUGCAGGGACACGAGGAAGCUUCCUGGGGAGGUGGAAAUAUUCCAUAUCUUGAUUAGGGUGGUGGCUCCAUCGGUAUAAGCAUCUGUCAAAACCCACUGAGCUGCGUACACACUUAAAAUGGAUGCAUUUUAUUGAGGAUGCCAUCUCCACUGAGACAGAAGACAGGGAUGAGGAAAAAGUCUGCAAGUCUACGAGACAACCUAGCAUAAGACUGGAGUUAGAAGAGACUGUGAUGAGCUUGUAUCCAUUUCUCCUUGUCCAACUGCCACCCUCAUCCCUAAUUUGUGGGACCGGGGCUCAGAAGGAAGUAUGGCUCAGUUACAGAAAAUAAAGAACAUGACAUAUUUUUGUACCUGAA